This 379-nucleotide small RNA is filed under the name Mycoplasmoides pneumoniae M129. RNAcentral describes it as "Mycoplasma pneumoniae M129 ncRNA". Lineage: Bacteria; Bacillati; Mycoplasmatota; Mycoplasmoidales; Mycoplasmoidaceae. The record is from RNAcentral.
CCGGGGAAGGCUUUAGAUGAAUUUUUCCCUGGUGUUUCAUCUGGUUAUCUUUUAUAAGUUUUAGCACCUGCAAUUUUUUAUGUUCUUGCACGCGUGUAGCAAACAUCUUUUAAGUUUUUUCAUUCUUCAACUUUAAUUUCUUCAACAGUUUUCUAGUAGUUGCUUAUUUUUCAAACUUAAGUUAGUUAGUUAAGUAUUGCCUCUUUUUUUGAAGCAGCUACACUUAUCAAGUUACUCAUAUUUUUCUUUUUCAUAUUUAGACAUAGGUUGUGUUAAGGGAUUUUUAGGACUAUCCAUGUAAAUACAUCUGAUAACUUAUUUUGAUUUUGUUAGCAAUAACACCAAAAUCCACAUCUAAAGCAAACCAAAAAGUCACCUG